This 577-nucleotide ribosomal RNA is filed under the name uncultured bacterium. Its description in RNAcentral is "bacterial SSU rRNA". It matches the Rfam family "Bacterial small subunit ribosomal RNA", at positions 347 to 915 of the family's 1533-position model. The record is from RNAcentral.
GGCAGCAGUGGGGAAUAUUGGACAAUGGGCGAAAGCCUGAUCCAGCGACGCCGCGUGUGGGAUGAAGGUCUGCGGAUCGUAAACUCCUGUCAAUAGAGAAGAAAAGCUCAUGAUUAAUACUCCUGAGGCUUGACUUAACCUUUAGAAAAAGCACCGGCUAACUUCGUGCCAGCAGCCGCGGUAAUACGAAGGGUGCAAGCGUUAUUCGGAAUUAUUGGGCGUAAAGGGCGCGCAGGCGGCUCGUUAAGUCAGAUGUGAAAUUUCCGGGCUCAACCGGAAAACUGCGUUCGAUACUGAUGUGCUAGAGGACGAGAGAGAGAAGUGGAAUUCUCCGAGUAGCGGUGAAAUGCUUGGAUCUCGGGAGGAAUACCGAUGGCGAAGGCAGCUUCCUGGCUCACUCCUGACGCUCAGGUGCGAAAGCGUGGGUAGCGAACAGGAUUAGAUACCCUGGUAGUCCACGCUGUAAACGAUGACUACUAGACGUCGGCUCCCAUUUUUUCUUAGGGGUCCAACUUAACGCCUAAAGAGACCCGCCGGGGGACUACGGCCGCAAGGCUAAACUUCAAAUGAUUUGACG